GACGAACGCUGGCGGCGUGCUUAACACAUGCAAGUCGAACGAAGAGCGAUGGAAGCUUGCUUCUCUCAAUCUUAGUGGCGAACGGGUGAGUAACGCGUAAUCAACCUGCCCUUCAGAGGGGGACAACAGUUGGAAACGACUGCUAAUACCGCAUACGAUCUAACCUCGGCAUCGAGGAUAGAUGAAAGGUGGCCUCUACAUGUAAGCUAUCACUGAAGGAGGGGAUUGCGUCUGAUUAGCUAGUUGGAGGGGUAACGGCCCACCAAGGCGAUGAUCAGUAGCCGGUCUGAGAGGAUGAACGGCCACAUUGGGACUGAGACACGGCCCCGACUCCUACGGGAGGCAGCAGUGGGGAAUCUUCCGCAAUGGACGGAAGUCUGACGGAGCAACGCCGCGUGAGUGAUGACGGCCUUCGGGUUGUAAAGCUCUGUUAAUCGGGACGAAAGGCCUUCUUGCGAAUAGUUAGAAGGAUUGACGGUACCGGAAUAGAAAGCCACGGCUAACUACGUG
RNAcentral lists this ribosomal RNA (510 nucleotides) under uncultured bacterium. RNAcentral describes it as "partial 16S ribosomal RNA". It matches the Rfam family "Bacterial small subunit ribosomal RNA", at positions 28 to 507 of the family's 1533-position model. The record is from RNAcentral.